This is a long non-coding RNA of Hippopotamus amphibius kiboko, 545 nucleotides long. RefSeq lists it as uncharacterized. The transcript is spliced from 4 exons. The record is from RefSeq and is a predicted model, not a curated record. NCBI's taxonomy places the organism in Eukaryota, Metazoa, Chordata, Mammalia, Artiodactyla, Hippopotamidae.
CACAUGCGUCAGCCGGCGGGCUGCGUGAUGACGCAGACGGGAGCGUGAGCGGUUGCUGCUAUGGGUCUCGGUGGUGGUGAGGCUGCUCCCGGGCGUCGUGGCCAUCCAGCUCCAUCGAGGGUCCCAGGCGGUGACUGCCGUCUGCGGAGGGCAGGUGGACGGCCCUCGACUGCCCCGCAGCAGAUCUCCUGUUAGAUGCACUGCAUCCGUGUAACUGAUGCGCUACCUUGUCAUGUGCCAUUGUUGGGGGGGUAUGUCAGACCCUUCCCAGUUCCUGACAGGCCCUGCCCCCAACCCCCAGCAGACUCUGCCCUGUGUACCUGCCCCAGCUUCAGCAGCAGAAAUCCCAGGAUGUGAGAGCUAGAAGAGACCUGAGAGAUGAUCUCUCCCGUGGAUGAUAGGUUCUUCUGGGGAAUCUGCAGCAGUUUGGGUGCCGUGUUGUCUGCUUCCAGAACGAGGAUCUUCGCUGUACCUCAGGACUUGGGCCCCUCUGACAUCACCUGAAUGAGAAACAAGGGAUAUUUAAUAAAACAGUUUCAACUUUG